UGGGGAAUAUUGGACAAUGGGCGAAAGCCUGAUCCAGCAAUGCCGCGUGUGUGAAGAAGGCCUGAGGGUUGUAAAGCACUUUCAGUAGUGAAGAAAAACUUAAAGUUAAUACCUUUAAGUCAUGACGUUAACUACAGAAGAAGCACCGGCUAACUCCGUGCCAGCAGCCGCGGUAAUACGGAGGGUGCAAGCGUUAAUCGGAAUUACUGGGCGUAAAGCGCGCGUAGGCGGUUUUGUAAGUCGGAUGUGAAAGCCCAGGGCUUAACCUUGGAAUUGCAUUCGAUACUGCAUCACUAGAGUAUGGUAGAGGGAAGUGGAAUUUCCGGUGUAGCGGUGAAAUGCGUAGAGAUCGGAAGGAACAUCAGUGGCGAAGGCGACUUCCUGGGCCAAUACUGACGCUAAGGUGCGAAAGCGUGGGGAGCAAACAGG
RNAcentral lists this ribosomal RNA (429 nucleotides) under uncultured bacterium. Its description in RNAcentral is "bacterial SSU rRNA". It matches the Rfam family "Bacterial small subunit ribosomal RNA", at positions 355 to 776 of the family's 1533-position model. The record is from RNAcentral.